UACGGAGGAUCCAAGCGUUAUCCGGAAUCAUUGGGUUUAAAGGGUCCGUAGGCGGGUUUGUAAGUCAGUGGUGAAAUCUUCCAGCUCAACUGGGAAAUUGCCAUUGAUACUGCAAGUCUUGAAUUAUUAAGAAGUAACUAGAAUAUGUAGUGUAGCGGUGAAAUGCUUAGAGAUUACAUGGAAUACCAAUUGCGAAGGCAGGUUACUAUUAAUGGAUUGACGCUGAUGGACGAAAGCGUGGGUAGCGAACAGG
This 253-nucleotide ribosomal RNA is filed under the name uncultured bacterium. RNAcentral's name for it is "partial 16S ribosomal RNA". It matches the Rfam family "Bacterial small subunit ribosomal RNA", at positions 524 to 776 of the family's 1533-position model. The record is from RNAcentral.